GGCGGAAUGCUUUACACAUGCAAGUCGAGCGGCAGCGCGGGGCAACCUGGCGGCGAGCGGCGAACGGGUGAGUAACACAUCGGAACAUGUCCAUUCGUGGGGGAUAGCCCGGCGAAAGCCGGAUUAAUACCGCAUACGCCCUUUGGGGGAAAGCGGGGGACUUCGCAAGAGGCCUCGCGCGAAUGGGUUGGCCGAUGUCCGAUUAGCUAGUUGGUGGGGUAAAGGCUCACCAAGGCGAUGAUCGGUAGCUGGUCUGAGAGGAUGAUCAGCCACACUGGGACUGAGACACGGCCCAGACUCCUACGGGAGGCAGCAGUGGGGAAUUUUGGACAAUGGGGGCAACCCUGAUCCAGCCAUUCCGCGUGAGUGAAGAAGGCCUUCGGGUUGUAAAGCUCUUUUGUCCGGAGCGAAACGGGUGGUGUUAAUAGCGCCAUCUACUGACGGUACCGGAAGAAUAAGCACCGGCUAACUACGUGCCAGCAGCCGCGGUAAUACGUANGGUGCGAGCGUUAAUCGGAAUUACUGGGCGUAAAGCGUGCGCAGGCGGUUUUGUA
RNAcentral lists this ribosomal RNA (554 nucleotides) under uncultured beta proteobacterium. RNAcentral describes it as "bacterial SSU rRNA". It matches the Rfam family "Bacterial small subunit ribosomal RNA", at positions 38 to 585 of the family's 1533-position model. The record is from RNAcentral. Lineage: Bacteria; Pseudomonadati; Pseudomonadota; Betaproteobacteria.